Non-coding RNA from Acanthosepion pharaonis, 114 nucleotides. The record is from the annotation of a GenBank genome assembly. Lineage: Eukaryota; Metazoa; Mollusca; Cephalopoda; Sepiida; Sepiidae.
UUACGGUCAAAUCACGUUGAAAACACCGGUUCUCGUUCGAUCACCGAAGUUAAGCAUCGUAGAGCCAGGUCAGUACUUAGAUGGGGGACCGCUUGGGAACACCUGGUACUGUAA